ACUGAAAAUCGGAGUUGUAGUCUGGAGAGGUUAUGAUUGCGAUGGAUAUGGGCCAAGUCUCCUGGAACGGAGCGCCAAGGAGGGUGACAGCCCCGUUCUUGCCCAUGUCAGUAGCUUCCAUCAGGCCUUCUACGAGUCGAGUUGUUUGGGAUUGCAGCUCUAAGCGGGUGGUAAAUUCCAUCUAAAGCUAAAUACCUGUGGGAGACCGAUAGCGAACAAGUACCGUGAGGGAAAGAUGAAAAGAACUUUGAAAAGAGAGUUAAAGAGUACCUGAAAUUGCUGAAAUGUAACCGAUGGGAGCCAGUGUCUUUCUUGGGAAAGGCGCGUGGGAGAGACUCUGACGAAAUGGCUCUUAUCAUCCCGUCUUGAAACACGGACCAAGGAGUCUAACAUGUGUGCGAGUGCUCGGGGUCAUCCCCCAGCGCGAAAUUAAUGUAAAGUUGCACUAUCGACCGACCAUGAUCCCUCGGGUGAAAGGUUUGAGUGUGAGCAUACAUGUUGGGACCCGAAAGAUGGUGAACUAUGCCUGAGUAGGGUGAAGCCAGGGGAAACUCUGGUGGAGGCCCGCAGCGAUUCU
RNAcentral lists this ribosomal RNA (577 nucleotides) under Dinobryon divergens. RNAcentral describes it as "eukaryotic LSU rRNA". It matches the Rfam family "Eukaryotic large subunit ribosomal RNA", at positions 129 to 887 of the family's 3401-position model. Lineage: Eukaryota; Chrysophyceae; Chromulinales; Dinobryaceae. The record is from RNAcentral.